GAUGAACGCUGGCGGCGUGCCUAAUACAUGCAAGUCGAGCGAACAGACGAUAAGCUUGCUCCUCUGACGUUAGCGGCUGACGGGUGAGUAACACGUGGAUAACCUACCUAUAAGACUGGGAGGACUUCGGGAAACCGGAUCUAAUACCGGAUAAUAUAUUCUACCGCAUGGUUCAAUAGAUAAAGACGGCUUUGCUGUUACUUAUAGAUGGAUCCGCGCCGCAUUAGCUAGUUGGUAAGGUAACGGCUUACCAAGGCAACGAUGCGUAGCCGACCUGAGAGGGUGAUCAGCCACACUGGAACUGAGACACGGUCCAGACUCCUACGGGAGGCAGCAGUAGGGAAUCUUCCGCAAUGGGCGCAAGCCUGACGCAGCCAUGCCGCGUGAGUGAUGAAGGUCUUCGGAUUGUAAAACUCUGUUAUUAGGGAAGAAAAAAUGUGUAAGUAACUCUGCACGUCUUGACGGUACCUAAUCAGAAAGCAACGGCUAACUACGUG
This 497-nucleotide ribosomal RNA is filed under the name uncultured bacterium. RNAcentral describes it as "partial 16S ribosomal RNA". It matches the Rfam family "Bacterial small subunit ribosomal RNA", at positions 28 to 507 of the family's 1533-position model. The record is from RNAcentral.